UUCGCAGGGUUUAGGUGUCUCAGAGGACU
Molecule: non-coding RNA, 29 nt
Filed under: Homo sapiens (human)
Lineage: Eukaryota; Metazoa; Chordata; Mammalia; Primates; Hominidae
Source: RNAcentral